This 1331-nucleotide ribosomal RNA is filed under the name uncultured bacterium. RNAcentral's name for it is "bacterial SSU rRNA". It matches the Rfam family "Bacterial small subunit ribosomal RNA", at positions 62 to 1385 of the family's 1533-position model. The record is from RNAcentral.
UCGAGGGGCAGCAUUUUUAGUUUGCUUGCAAACUGAAGAUGGCGACCGGCGCACGGGUGAGUAACACGUAUCCAACCUGCCGAUAACUCCGGGAUAGCCUUUCGAAAGAAAGAUUAAUACCGGAUAGCAUACGAAUAUCGCAUGAUAUUUUUAUUAAAGAAUUUCGGUUAUCGAUGGGGAUGCGUUCCAUUAGUUUGUUGGCGGGGUAACGGCCCACCAAGACAACGAUGGAUAGGGGUUCUGAGAGGAAGGUCCCCCACAUUGGAACUGAGACACGGUCCAAACUCCUACGGGAGGCUGCAGUGAGGAAUAUUGGUCAAUGGGCGAGAGCCUGAACCAGCCAAGUAGCGUGAAGGAUGAAGGCUCUAUGGGUCGUAAACUUCUUUUAUAUGGGAAUAAAGUAUUCCACGUGUGGAAUUUUGUAUGUACCAUAUGAAUAAGGAUCGGCUAACUCCGUGCCAGCAGCCGCGGUAAUACGGAGGAUCCGAGCGUUAUCCGGAUUUAUUGGGUUUAAAGGGAGCGUAGGUGGAUUGUUAAGUCAGUUGUGAAAGUUUGCGGCUCAACCGUAAAAUUGCAGUUGAAACUGGCAGUCUUGAGUACAGUAGAGGUGGGCGGAAUUCGUGGUGUAGCGGUGAAAUGCUUAGAUAUCACGAAGAACUCCGACUGCGAAGGCAGCUCACUAGACUGUCACUGACACUGAUGCUCGAAAGUGUGGGUAUCAAACGGGAUUAGAUACCCUGGUAGUCCACACAGUAAACGAUGAAUACUCGCUGUUUGCGAUAUACAGUAAGCGGCCAAGCGAAAAGCAUUAAGUAUUCCACCUGGGGAGUACGCCGGCAACGGUGAAACUCAAAGGAAUUGACGGGGGCCCGCACAAGCGGAGGAACAUGUGGUUUAACUCGAUGAUACGCGAGGAACCUUACCCGGGCUUAAAUUGCAACAGAAUAUAUUGGAAACAGUAUAGCCGUAAGGCUGUUGUGAAGGUGCUGCAUGGUUGUCGUCAGCUCGUGCCGUGAGGUGUCGGCUUAAGUGCCAUAACGAGCGCAACCCUUAUCUUUAGUUACCAACAGGUCAUGCUGAGGACUCUAGAGAGACUGCCGUCGUAAGAUGUGAGGAAGGUGGGGAUGACGUCAAAUCAGCACGGCCCUUACGUCCGGGGCUACACACGUGUUACAAUGGGGGGUACAGAAGGCGGCUACCUGGUGACAGGAUGCUAAUCCCAAAAACCUCUCUCAGUUCGGAUCGAAGUCUGCAACCCGACUUCGUGAAGCUGGAUUCGCUAGUAAUCGCGCAUCAGCCAUGGCGCGGUGAAUACGUUCCCGGGCCUUGCA